UUUGGAUUAGGAUUUGGAUAGGAUUUGAUUUAGGAUUUAGGAUUUGGUUUAGGAUUUGGAUUAGAGUUUGGUUAGGAUUUGGAUUAGAGUUUGGUUAGGAUUUGAUUUAGGGUUUAGGAUUUGAUUUAGAAUUUGGUUGGAGUUUGGUUUAAGGUUUGUUUAAGAUUUGUAUAGGAUUUGAUUUAGGAUUUAGGAUUUUAUUAGGAUUUAAGAUUCAAUUAGUUUUGGCCUAAAGUAUAAAUGAAGUUCAAUAGGAUUUUAACUAGAAUUAAAUUAAGAUUGAAUUGAGAUGCAUUUGAGUGAUAUUUGUGAUCCUUUUAAUAUUUCUUUAAGAAUUCUUAUUGUUUGUUUGAAAUUUCUUUGAGGUUUUUUUGAAUUUGAUUAAGCUUGCUUACCAUUAUUAUGGUCUAAUUAGAGCAUUGUUAGUAUUCUAUUAGAAUUAAGAUUUUAUUAUUGCAAUUUCCAUUCUUCCUUCCACAGCUAGGUGCUUAGAGCAUUCUCAAGCAAGACUUCACUUAUUACGACAAUCCUAUCCGACGGAGGAGUAACGUGUUGGAUUAGUUGGAACUUUGCUCACGAGGCAAGCUCUAUCAUGGUUUACUUAUUUAUUUGAGAAAAUAUCGUUGUAGAAUAGAUAUUAGUUCAUUUUUAUAAGAUAUUGGUAAAAUAGAUUAAUAGUCCAUAGAAU
Molecule: long non-coding RNA, 688 nt
Filed under: Physcomitrium patens
Lineage: Eukaryota; Viridiplantae; Streptophyta; Bryopsida; Funariales; Funariaceae
Description: long non-coding RNA (PPAT_LNC013741)
Source: RNAcentral